AACUGUCCCCUUCCCGAGAGCAAGUUUGGUUCCAGGAGCAGAUCUGGAGUCUGGGAGCACUUCCGGUCACUCCUGGACUGCUCGAAUCCAACACGUUGACUUCAAAAAUGAGUUGAGCAGAGGGAAGAAUCGGAAGAACCUGGACACCAGCUACUCUUUGGGCACAGUUGGAAAACGCAGCGCUCUAACGUGCUGCAAGAGAAUGGGGGUGGCACCAGCGUCCUGUCUGCAGAGUCCCUAAAGUGGUAUGCUUACACUGUGGCUGGACCAGCAGCAGCAGCAAGAAUCCCACCAACCAGGGCACCAGCUGCCUCCUAACACCUGAAGAGGUUCCAUGGCCACCUGCUCAAGACCCAUGUCUCAGAGACCACCUUGACCCACUCUUCAGGCAUCCAAGGGCCACUGAUCAUGGAGUUAUCUGGCACUUACUCCUUUGACGACCUCAGUGAGAAGUUUUAUGACCCUCACUCAGCACCCCCACACACACAAAAAUCAUGUCUCAUUGCUGAAAUUAUUGCAUUUGGCCUUCAGCCAUAUUCUUUUGUAGACAAUGUUGGUUUUAAAAGUUUGCUCAAAUGCUUGAAACCUCAA
Molecule: non-coding RNA, 591 nt
Organism: Ictidomys tridecemlineatus (thirteen-lined ground squirrel)
Lineage: Eukaryota; Metazoa; Chordata; Mammalia; Rodentia; Sciuridae
Source: RefSeq, a predicted model, not a curated record